UGGGGAAUAUUGGACAAUGGGGGCAACCCUGAUCCAGCAAUGCCGCGUGUGUGAUGAAGGCCCUAGGGUUGUAAAGCACUUUCACUGGUGAAGAUGAUGACGGUAACCAGAGAAGAAGCCCCGGCUAACUUCGUGCCAGCAGCCGCGGUAAUACGAAGGGGGCGAGCGUUGUUCGGAAUUACUGGGCGUAAAGGGCGCGUAGGCGGCUCUUUAAGUUAGGCGUGAAAGCCCCGGGCUCAACCUGGGAACUGCGCUUAAGACUGGAGAGCUAGAAAACGGAAGAGGGUAGUGGAAUUCCCAGUGUAGAGGUGAAAUUCGUAGAUAUUGGGAAGAACACCAGUGGCGAAAGCGGCUACCUGGUCCGGAUUUGACGCUGAGGCGCGAAAGCGUGGGGAGCAAACAGG
RNAcentral lists this ribosomal RNA (404 nucleotides) under uncultured bacterium. Its description in RNAcentral is "bacterial SSU rRNA". It matches the Rfam family "Bacterial small subunit ribosomal RNA", at positions 355 to 776 of the family's 1533-position model. The record is from RNAcentral.